Molecule: transfer RNA, 58 nt
Filed under: Pleuropoma jana
Lineage: Eukaryota; Metazoa; Mollusca; Gastropoda; Cycloneritida; Helicinidae
Description: tRNA-Lys
Source: RNAcentral
AGAAUGGCUGAGUUAUAAGCAUUAGAUUUUUAAUUUAAUUACGAUUUUUGAUCUUUUA